GACGAACGCUGGCGGCGUGCUUAACACAUGCAAGUCGAACGGAAAGGCCCUGCUUUUGUGGGGUGCUCGAGUGGCGAACGGGUGAGUAACACGUGAGUAACCUGCCCUUGACUUUGGGAUAACUUCAGGAAACUGGGGCUAAUACCGGAUAGGAGCUCCUGCUGCAUGGUGGGGGUUGGAAAGUUUCGGCGGUUGGGGAUGGACUCGCGGCUUAUCAGCUUGUUGGUGGGGUAGUGGCUUACCAAGGCUUUGACGGGUAGCCGGCCUGAGAGGGUGACCGGCCACAUUGGGACUAAGAUACGGCCCAGACGCCUACGGGAGGCAGCAGUGGGGAAUAUUGCACAAUGGGCGGAAGCCUGAUGCAGCAGCGCCGCGUGCGGGAUGACGGCCUUCGGGUUGUAAACCGCUUUCGCCUGUGACGAAGCGUGAGUGACGGUAAUGGGUAAAGAAGCACCGGCUAACUACGUG
This 468-nucleotide ribosomal RNA is filed under the name uncultured bacterium. Its description in RNAcentral is "partial 16S ribosomal RNA". It matches the Rfam family "Bacterial small subunit ribosomal RNA", at positions 28 to 507 of the family's 1533-position model. The record is from RNAcentral.